UCCGUAUCGUUCAAUGGUAGGAUCACUCCCUGCUAAGGAGAAGAUGGCGGUUCAAUUCCGCCUGCGGAUU
This 70-nucleotide transfer RNA is filed under the name Oscillospiraceae bacterium. RNAcentral describes it as "tRNA-Ser". It matches the Rfam family "tRNA". From Rfam's summary of the family: Transfer RNA (tRNA) molecules are approximately 80 nucleotides in length. Their secondary structure includes four short double-helical elements and three loops (D, anti-codon, and T loops). The record is from RNAcentral. Lineage: Bacteria; Bacillati; Bacillota; Clostridia; Eubacteriales; Oscillospiraceae.